Molecule: RNA transcript, 3809 nt
Organism: Juglans microcarpa x Juglans regia
Lineage: Eukaryota; Viridiplantae; Streptophyta; Magnoliopsida; Fagales; Juglandaceae
Gene name: inositol polyphosphate multikinase beta-like
Exons: 4
Source: RefSeq, a predicted model, not a curated record
GGCCCAUGCUUAAAUCAAGACCUCCAACAAAUGCCAUGAUCUUUCUUUUAUACUGACCUGCAUCAGCAUCUACAAUUACUGUUUUCUGAUGAUGGGUAUAGAUUGUUUCAACUUCCUGACAAUCAAAGAUGAAAACAAAAGAGGUUUAAAGUAAGUAAUAAAAUAGAAUACCACAUUAUUAAUACUUACACACGUACAUAGAUAUAUACAAACACGUACAGAUAUGUGUAUAGGUUUGUAUGCACCUACAUCCAUAUAUAGAAGGUUUUAAAAUGCUUUAGUUUUAUAUUAGUGUGUCCUGCAAAUAUAUGCACAUGUUUGAUCUGCUGGUGUGGAGCUAGCUUCAGAACUAACCAAAUUCUGAUGCCAUUAUAAACAUAGUUAAGCCCCAAUAAUUACAUGGGUUGGGCUAAUUAGAUUAGAUAGCAUGGGGGGAUUUAACGCAACUUUUACUGGUUGGUUGUACCGAUCAUGAGAAUAUGACAGUGACUAUAUUUGAAAUAAGUUCCAAAGCAAAACCUUCUUCAUAUCCACCAUGACCUUUGGCCCCACCUCCAUUUUAAUGCUAACUCGAGAGCUUUCAUGGAGGACAAGACACUGAAACUUACCUCCAUAUCUACAUCCAGCAUUUAUUCACAUCAUAAAUGAAUCCAUUCUGAUAUGAAACUUCCUCCUUGUUUCACUGCAGAUAGAUCCAUCAUGCUGGCCCUCCUAUAUAUAUAUGUAUAAGCUUUCCAAACAUGUAGUUAACAGCUUUACUUCUUUGAAUUAAUCUUUGUCUGUUUUAUGUAAUUAAGAUUCGAUUCUAGCCUUUCUAGCUAGGUUUGUAUUCAGCAAUAAGAGCUAGGCUUUGCCAAUUGAACACUCAACCGUCGAUCCAUUGUAGCUCUUAAUUUAGAAAAAAAAUAAUAGAACAAAAAAAUUGAAAAGACAAUAUUAUUAAAUUUAUAAUAUUUUAUUAUUAUUUUGACUAAUAGAUAGAUAAUCCAAUCUGAGAAUAAGUUUUGAGUGGAAUAGCUAAAUGCAAAAUCACGUCAUAUUAUGCAAAUUUUACAUUUGCAUUUGCAUAAUCCAAUGCUAAUGCUCGGCACCAUUGGCACUGGGUCAUUACUCAUCCAGCCUUUGAGCUACAGUGAUUCAACAAAUAUGUUAAACCACUGUAGCUCAGGUAUCUUAAAAUUUAUUGUUUUUUCUCUCACCUAGACGGUUUCAUUUUCCUCGGUUUCAUUUCUCACCUUUACUCUCCCCACUUCUGUUCCUUUCCCGCAACCUAUGCAGCUCUCCAAGAAAAGAAGGAACCAUUUUUUUCUCUCCCCAUUUCAUUUCUCACCUUUUCUCUCCCCAUUUUUUUUCCCUUUCCCCAUUUCUUUUAUCAGUGUACUAACUUCAUGGGAACAGAGAGGAAAGACUGAAGAAACAAAGAAAGGAACCAUUUUUUCACUUCAGACGGAGGCACUUCUUUCUUUUAUUUUUUUAAUGUGAUAGAGCAGUACCUUCAGAGGACAAAUAUAGUUGAAGAUUAGUGAAUUUGUUGCGUUUCUUAUACCCUAGACCAUGCUUAAGGUCCCAGAUCAUCAGGUUGCUGGCCACGAGGGUCGUGAUGGAAUGCUCGGUCCUCUGAUAGAUGAUGUAGGGCACUUCUACAAACCUCUUCAAGAUGAUGAUCGUGGGUCCAACGAGGUAGCCUUCUAUAAAUCAUUCUCAUCGAACACUGAGAUUCCAGAUCACGUCCGGAGAUUCUUUCCUAUUUUUUAUGGAACUCGGCUUAUAGAGGCAUCUGAUGGAUCUGGCCUGCAUCCUCAUCUUGUGCUGCAAGAUACUGUCUCAAGUCACCUCAAUCCGUCUAUCAUGGACAUUAAGAUUGGAUCCAGAACGUGGUACCCCCAAGCAUCAGAGGACUAUAUCCAAAAGUGUUUAAAGAAAGACAGAGACUCAACAAGCAUUGCACUGGGGUUUAGGAUAUCUGGAUUGCAGGUACAUGGGAGCCAAGAAUCUGAAACCUGGAAGCCAGAUAAAAAGCUUGUCAAGAAAUUUACUGCCAAGGAUGUUAGGUUAGUUUUGAGGAAGUUUGUCUCCUCUAACACCUCUGUAGAUACAGGUAUGGACCCUGAUUGUUCUUUUGCAUCAACUGUUUAUGGUGGAUCUGCUGGAAUUUUGGCACAAUUGUUGGAACUCAAAAAAUGGUUUGAGGAUCAAACCAUUUACCAUUUCUAUUCUUGUUCGGUUCUCAUGGUGUAUGAUAAGGAAUCAGUAGUUAAAGAAAGGAAUUGUGCUGAAGUAAAACUUGUUGAUUUUGCUCAUGUUUUGGAAGGCAAGGGUGUUAUUGAUCAUAACUUCUUGGGUGGGCUCUGUUCUUUGAUAAAGUUUAUCACGGAGAUUUUGAGCUGUUCUGAUGAGUAUGAAGAAGCCAAAGCUUCUCUGCAAGACCCUAACAAUAAUUGUAAUUGUACCGAUUGAGCCGGUUAGAAAUGAAUAGGAUGUCUUCAAUGUUGACUUUCUCACCUCACUGUGUAGGCUGUCGCUUAUCUAUGUGCCUUCAUGGGACGAUUAUGUCUUGGGCUUUAAUUGCCCGAAAUCAAAGCUUUUAGCCUUUUGUUUCUUCUUUGUUGAACGAACGAGAACCCGGAGACUAGCGCGCGCGAAAAAAGAUUUUAGUUUGGCUUUGUAUUGUUCCCACUGUUCAAUUUUCUCGUGGGAAUUUCUUCAAUCAUCUUCCGCUUCAAGGCCAACGUCUAUUUCGAAAUCAUCAGCGCCGAAACCCUAAUCACUUUCAGAGAACUUGGUUCAUCCUUUUCCGAAACCAGUACUUCCCGCCAAACAAGAUCAGGUCCAUCUCAAUGUCGACAAUCUUCUCCAUAGGAACCAGAAAGUUUGAAGAAUCUUACUGAUGUUUCACCGUAACAACUCAAUCGAAAACAUUAACAUCGUUGAUCGGAAGUGGUGCGGGGCUUCCGGGAUUUAUUUUAGCUACUGCUUCCCAGGAAAAUCAAUUUGUUGCUUUUUUUUUUUUUUAAAUUUAAUUUUGUGCUGCAUUGAUGCGGCUUAUUGUUAAUUUUUUUGAAAUUUAUGUUCUAAAUUCAUUUUCUGGUUUGUUUUUGUUGGUGGGUCUGGUAUCAAAUCUUGGACGGUAGAUUGGAAAAUAACGCUAUUAGAGUCUAUGAACAAGCACUGAGUUUUAUUGGAGUAUGUGAUAGCUCUUGCUGGCCAAUCUAAUGACUAAAUUGUACAAGGAAUUAAUAUUGUCUCCCGCUUCCUUCUUGUACGAUAUUUUCACAUUUGCAGGUAUACGAGUGUGUUUCCAUUUGAAUGUUACUUUCCUUAAUUCCUGUGUAUGUGAACUCUCUCCCCCUUUGAGACUAUGUAAAAUAUGCUUCCUUGUAGGAUUUCUGAGGAAGAGCUGAAGCAAGUUUAAUGAUUUGAAAUAGAAUUUCCGUAUAGGAUAUGAACCAUGGGUUAUGGCAUAGUGGGGUCGUGUUCCUAAUUGGAGUGGGUGCUAUCCAUGUUAUUGUUUAUGGGUCUCUAAGAUUGGCUUAUCAAGCUAUUCUGUAGGAAGUGUGGUUUGUAGUUCGUAUUAAAUUGUCACUUCUCUGUUUCCAAGGAUGUUGUUAUCCACAUAAACUUUGAUUUUGUUUUAUUUUCUACUUUUCUAUUUCUGAGCGUUAAGAUUGUUUAUGUUGCUCACCAAUUCCCUUUUCCAUGCUCCAUUGAAAAUUACAAACCUUUUUAUAGGAGCAAAUUUCAGGCGGGCUAUUUGCUUCAGUGAGAAACUUGAUGUGGCAGUGGCAAGGGUGGUUGCAGAAACGGGAAUC